UACAGAGGUCUCAAGCGUUGUUCGGAUUCAUUGGGCGUAAAGGGUGCGUAGGUGGCGCCGUAAGUCGGGUGUGAAAUUUCGGAGCUUAACUCCGAAACUGCAUUCGAUACUGCGGUGCUUGAGGACUGGAGAGGAGACUGGAAUUCAUGGUGUAGCAGUGAAAUGCGUGGAGAUCAAGAGGAACACUCGUGGCGAAAGCGAGCUACUGGACAAUAUCUGACGCUGAGGCUCGAAGGCCAGGGUAGCGAAAGGG
RNAcentral lists this ribosomal RNA (253 nucleotides) under uncultured bacterium. Its description in RNAcentral is "partial 16S ribosomal RNA". It matches the Rfam family "Bacterial small subunit ribosomal RNA", at positions 524 to 776 of the family's 1533-position model. The record is from RNAcentral.